This 98-nucleotide non-coding RNA is filed under the name Chrysemys picta bellii (western painted turtle). RNAcentral's name for it is "miRNA (ENSCPBG00000017522.1)". The stretch from base 11 to 88 matches the Rfam family "mir-96 microRNA precursor family". Lineage: Eukaryota; Metazoa; Chordata; Testudines; Emydidae. RNAcentral also lists the same sequence under 1 other name. The record is from RNAcentral.
UAUCUCUGCUUCGCCCGGUUUGGCACUAGCACAUUUUUGCUUUUGUAUAACUACUUUGAGCAAUUAUGUGUAGUGCCAAUCUGGGAGAAGACGGAAGU